RNAcentral lists this ribosomal RNA (359 nucleotides) under uncultured bacterium. RNAcentral describes it as "partial 16S ribosomal RNA". It matches the Rfam family "Bacterial small subunit ribosomal RNA", at positions 338 to 694 of the family's 1533-position model. The record is from RNAcentral.
CCUACGGGGCGCUGCAGUGAGGAAUAUUGGUCAAUGGGCGCAAGCCUGAACCAGCCAAGUCGCGUGAGGGAUGACGGUCCUAUGGAUUGUAAACCUCUUUUGUCGGGGAGCAAGGCCCGCCACGGGUGGCGGGAAGGAGAGUACCCGAAGAAAAAGCAUCGGCUAACUCCGUGCCAGCAGCCGCGGUAAUAACGAGGAUGCGAGCGUUAUACGGAAUUAUUGGGUUUACAGGGAGCGUAGGCGGAAGGUUAAGUCAGUGGUCAAUUGUCGGUGCUCAACACCGGCAUGCAGUUGACACUGGUCUGCUUGAGUGAGCGAGAAGUAUGCGGAAUGCGUGGGGUGGCGGUGAAAUGCAUAGA